GAGGGGCAGCAUGGUCUUAGCUUGCUAAGACUGAUGGCGACCGGCGCACGGGUGAGUAACACGUAUCCAACCUGCCGUCUACUCUUGGACAGCCUUCUGAAAGGAAGAUUAAUACAAGAUGGCAUCAUGAGUCCGCAUGUUCACAUGAUUAAAGGUAUUCCGGUAGACGAUGGGGAUGCGUUCCAUUAGAUAGUAGGCGGGGUAACGGCCCACCUAGUCUUCGAUGGAUAGGGGUUCUGAGAGGAAGGUCCCCCACAUUGGAACUGAGACACGGUCCAAACUCCUACGGGAGGCAGCAGUGAGGAAUAUUGGUCAAUGGGCGAGAGCCUGAACCAGCCAAGUAGCGUGAAGGAUGACUGCCCUAUGGGUUGUAAACUUCUUUUAUAAAGGAAUAAAGUCGGGUAUGGAUACCCGUUUGCAUGUACUUUAUGAAUAAGGAUCGGCUAACUCCGUGCCAGCAGCCGCGGUAAUACGGAGGAUCCGAGCGUUAUCCGGAUUUAUUGGGUUUAAAGGGAGCGUAGAUGGAUGUUUAAGUCAGUUGUGAAAGUUUGCGGCUCAACCGUAAAAUUGCAGUUGAUACUGGAUAUCUUGAGUGCAGUUGAGGCAGGCGGAAUUCGUGGUGUAGCGGUUAAAUGCUUAGAUAUCACGAAGAACUCCGAUUGCGAAGGCAGCCUGCUAAGCUGCAACUG
RNAcentral lists this ribosomal RNA (689 nucleotides) under uncultured Bacteroidales bacterium. RNAcentral describes it as "bacterial SSU rRNA". It matches the Rfam family "Bacterial small subunit ribosomal RNA", at positions 64 to 742 of the family's 1533-position model. Lineage: Bacteria; Pseudomonadati; Bacteroidota; Bacteroidia; Bacteroidales. The record is from RNAcentral.